GAACGAACGCUGGCGGCGUGGAUAAGACAUGCAAGUCGAGCGGGAUAUCCAGGGUAGCAAUAUUCUGGAUGUUCAGCGGCGAAAGGGUGCGUAACGCGUGGGUAAUUUGCCGUAGAGUUGGGGAUAACUCGCUGAAAGGCGAGCUAAUACCGGAUGUGAUCAGCCUUUGGCAUCAAUGGGCUGAUUAAAGUUGGGGACUGUUAAAGGCCUGACGCUCUAUGAUAAGCCCGCGACCUAUCAGCUAGUUGGUGGAGGUAACGGCUCACCAAGGCUAAGACGGGUAGCUGGUCUGAGAGGACGACCAGCCACACUGGAACUGAGAGACGGUCCAGACACCUACGGGUGGCAGCAGUCGAGAAUUUUUCUCAAUGGGGGAAACCCUGAAGGAGCGACGCCGCGUGGGGGAUGAAGGGCUUCGGCCUGUAAACCCCUGUCAUCUGCGAACAAACCUUUCUGGUAAAUAACCAGAGAGCUGAUUGUAGUGGAAGAGGAAGGGACGGCUAACUCUGUGCCAGCAGCCGCGGUAAUACAGAGGUCCCGAGCGUUGUUCGGAUUCACUGGGCGUAAAGGGUGCGUAGGCGGUGGGGUAAGUUUGAUGUGAAAUCUCCAGGCUCAACCUGGAAAUGGCAUUGAAGACUGCUCUGCUAGAGGCUUGGAGGGGGGACUGGAAUACUUGGUGUAGCAGUGAAAUGCGUAGAUAUCAAGUGGAACACCAGUGGCGAAGGCGAGUCCCUGGACAAGACCUGACGCUGAGGCACGAAAGCUAGGGGAGCAAACAGGAUUAGAUACCCUGGUAGUCCUAGCCGUAAACGGUGCUGGCUUGCUGUGAAAGGAAUCGACCCCUUUUGUGGCGCAGCUAACGCGAUAAGCCAGCCGCCUGGGAAGUACGGUCGCAAGAUUAAAACUCAAAGAAAUUGACGGGGGCCUGCACAAGCGGUGGAGUAUGUGGCUUAAUUCGAUGCAACGCGAAGAACCUUACCUGGCCUUGACAUGCACGUGGUAGAAGUCUGAAAGGAUGACGACCCCGCAAGGGGAGCGUGCACAGGUGCUGCAUGGCUGUCGUCAGCUCGUGUCGUGAGAUGUUGGGUUAAGUCCCGCAACGAGCGCAACCCCUGUGUCCUGUUGCCACCCGGUCGAGAGACUGGAGCACUCUGGACAGACUGCCUCGCUUCAACGGGGAGGAAGGUGGGGAUGACGUCAAGUCAGGAUGGCCCUUACGGCCAGGGCUGCACACGUACUACAAUGCCCGGCACAGAGGGAAGCGAUACCGCUAGGUGGAGCAAAUCUCUAGAAA
This 1294-nucleotide ribosomal RNA is filed under the name uncultured bacterium. Its description in RNAcentral is "bacterial SSU rRNA". It matches the Rfam family "Bacterial small subunit ribosomal RNA", at positions 27 to 1281 of the family's 1533-position model. The record is from RNAcentral.